UGGUUUGUCCAUUCUAGGCUCCUGUAGAAACCUGGUGGUUCAACGUGGUGGAAGAUCUCUGUUGAUUUCAAGGCAACAAAAACAGAAAUAUUCAGAUUUCCAGAGAAGCCGCCACACGGCAUCACAAGCAUCCAGCGACGACGUCCGACGAGAAGGUGAAGAUGAACCGGCCUUUCUGAUCAAAGCAGCCCGUCUAUAAAGCUCAAGGCUGGCCUUCCUUGGCGGGUCGGGACAUGGAGGCCAAACCAACACACCGAGGCCCCUCUGACGCUGAGCGUCAACGCCACCGCGGGGUCGCGACCUCAGCCAGAGUGUCUCAGAGGUCACGGGGUCGGGUCAAUCGGAGGGGAAUGUUAUCCGAAGCAUCAGAGCUUAUUUGUUUAAUUUUCCGUCAAACCCUGGUGUCUGCCUCUGAUCAAGAUGACCGUGGAUUACUCGAAGAGGAGGAGAGAGAGAGAACGGAGGGAGAAAAGGAGCCUACUGCUUCAAAUUAGGCUGGAAAAAUAAUCCUGCGUCGCCUCGACCAAACAUCGUACUUUAAACUUAUUGUCAGAAGCCAAAUAAGCUUUACAAACCACAAAAACACUCCGGAGGCUGUGCAGCCGAAGGAGGCUGCGAUUCUCAUGAAGGUCACUCCAAGUGUCAUGAAUAUUUUUCUCCUUUCAGACCGACCGCUUCUCCUUCGAUCUGCUAAAGCACUCGCACACGGCGAGGACCAGACAAGUGUCCGAUUCAUAAACACAGAUCCGAUCUGACGCUCGCAGAAAGACGAGUCGCGCGAGGGUUUUUCGCAGAAUAUUAAACUUCCCUUUGUGUCUUCAUGAAGCGAGCUGCCAGAUACAGAAGUCAUUUCACAGCUCGGAAACGAGGUGCUCUAACUAUAAACUUUAUAAAGCAUAAACAUAUUUGAAUUGAAACACAUACACUAAUUAAAAACUGUAAUCUUAAUCACAUUUUAAAGGCCCAGUGUAAUCACCUCUGCAGCUGAUUUAGUGAUCUACAUUUAUUCUAACAGUGUGUCAUGAAAUAAAUCUGCAAGACUUGAUGUAAAAGCUGAAAUAUGUUUUGUUGAGUGUGUAAAAUGUUUUAUUUUCU
Larimichthys crocea (large yellow croaker) is the source of this 1095-nucleotide long non-coding RNA. RefSeq lists it as uncharacterized. The transcript is spliced from 3 exons. The record is from RefSeq and is a predicted model, not a curated record. NCBI's taxonomy places the organism in Eukaryota, Metazoa, Chordata, Actinopteri, Sciaenidae.